RNAcentral lists this long non-coding RNA (1907 nucleotides) under Homo sapiens (human). RNAcentral's name for it is "long non-coding RNA NONHSAT105650.2". The record is from RNAcentral. Lineage: Eukaryota; Metazoa; Chordata; Mammalia; Primates; Hominidae.
GUCAAUCUCUUAAGGUGCCUAAUUCAUAAACUUAAUCACAGGUAUGUAUGCAUAGGAAAAAACAGUAUGUAUAAGGUUUGUUAUUAUCUGUGGUUUUAGACAUCCACUGGGGGUCUGGUUUUAGAUAUCCACUGUAUCCCCUGUGGAUAAGGGGGUAACUGCUGUAUCUUUUAGUAGAAGCAAGAGCAGCCCCAUGUGGGGGCUAACACUGGACACUGGUCAGUUUCAGCUCCUCAUGCAAAGUGAGGGUAUCCUUGUGGCUCCAGCCCUGGGGCCCCCUGCGGUCACCUUUGGGCAUCCCCUGAUGCAGGUUGGUCAGGACCUGCCCAGCUUGCACCAGCAGGUUCUGCGUCUCCAUCUGACCUGGCAGACCUUGCACUCUUCCACCCACUGUGGAGGACUAAGUGUCUUGAACUUCCAGAACACAGCCAGGGCCCCAUACUUGGCCUGGGGAGAAGUUGGGAGGCCUAAGCAGUGGUUGGGGGCCACAGCAAGGCAUUGCACACAGUGGUUUUUAUUUCUUUCAGGGAUUUAUUAAGGCAUUGAGCACAGUGUAAUUUCUAGCCAAGUGAAAUGAAUCCAAGGAAAUAUAUCAGGACCUGAGGGAUGUUUUUUUAAAGUUACUGGAAAGGAUGAUGAGCUGAGAGCACGUGUACAGCCACGCCUGUGCGCAGCGCCCACUCUGUGCAAUAAACAUGUUCUGCCCAUGUUCCUCAGUCAGGAGGUUCAGGCUCCCGGAGAGCACCUGAGGGUUCCAUCACUUUGGUGCCCAACAAGCACAUGCCCCCCAACCUGGUGCCAAGAGGCAGGAAUGACCCCCAUACCACAUAGCUGCAGGAAAGCAUCCACGGAUGGAGGGACUCAGCUGGCCUGGCCGCAGUGUGGAGCACAGAGGUAUGAGGCAAGCAAGGGCAGAUCUGAGAGCCUGUAAUGCUAGGCAGGUGCAGCUGGUGCGAGGCGGGCUCCCACCAGGUGUAAGGAAGGUGGGAGCCACAGCCUCUUCCUGGGCCCAGAAGCAGCCGGCGCCAGGAGAUGCAGGCCCAGGGAAUCUGUCUAAGGCAGCUGGGUCUGCACCAGCCUUCUUUCCACUCACAACUCACUGCUCCUGGGAGAGCAGGAGGGGCACACCUUUAAAGAGAAACUGAUAAGGGAGGAAAGGCAGGAGGAGAUGAGGCCAGCCCCACUGAUGACACCUUGGGCCAGGCCUCACAGCUGCAGGCAUCAGCCGGAAACUCCAGGCUGCUCAUGGUCACUGGCGGUGCUGAACUGUCUCUCCACUUUCUUUUGGUCCUUGAUCUUGAGUCCAAUGUCCACUCUCUUCUCAAAGAAGUUCACCAGCACGGACUCCGUCAGGAUGGAGGCCAGGAUCUGCUCAAAGGAGAUGCACCAGUCGGUGUCGACGGUGCCGCCGAUGCGCGCUGUGGGGCUGCAGGCCUCCCCGCCCACCAGCACCGUGUCGUCUGCAAGGUCUUCACAUUGCAGGGAGCCCGUGCUGACCACCGAGUAGGAGGACAUGGACAUGUCGUCUUUGGUUUCAUCGUCAGACAGCAGCUGGGAGGGUGAGCCCUGUCCCUCGCCGCUGCCCCCCUCCACCACCACCUGGCUCUCCUGUGGGGCUUUUCCGAGGUGUGUGUCUCCGCCUGCUUUGGCUUGGGGGUCUCCUGCAGCUGGGGGCUGAAGCUCCCUGGCUGCGUCCUGAUGCAGUUCGGGUGCUGGUGGCUCGUCCUCCUCAGUGGCACAGUCCCUGGGCUUCCUGCCUGUGCGGGCUGAGAACUUCUUCCCCACCUCUCCGAUGCGGAGCAGGAGGCUGGCCACGGUGGCGAUGGCGUGGUACAGGUCCUGCUCCAUGGGGUCUUCACUGAACAUGUUGUAAAGCGUCUUGCACAGCUCAAUGAACUGCUCCUUUU